ACUUAAGAAGAAGAGUAGCAGAUGCCAGAAAGUUGCAGCAGCAAUAAGCAAGUGGUGCAGGUGGAGUUAGAGAGUUCUGUUAAGGAGAAUAAUGUUCAGGAUAUAGAAACUGUUAAGUGAUUGUUGUUUCUUGAUUUGAUUUUGAUGAGCCCAAAACACUUGAGUAUAUUUCAUAUUAUACUAAUGAAUUCAAAUGAGUGUUUUUUAGGGAAUAUAUUGCUAUAUACAUUAGGAUAACUUAGAAAAUGGUUAAGGAUUAUUGAGACCAGUUAUUAUAAUGUUUGGAACCAUUUUUACCUUGACCUGCACUCGAGUCGACUCCGGCAUAAAAGAUUUUAUCUAGCACGACCUCGAAUCGAC
RNAcentral lists this long non-coding RNA (360 nucleotides) under Phoenix dactylifera (date palm). RNAcentral describes it as "long non-coding RNA (PDAC_LNC003038)". Lineage: Eukaryota; Viridiplantae; Streptophyta; Magnoliopsida; Arecales; Arecaceae. The record is from RNAcentral.